UCUCCGUAGGUGAACCUGCGGAGGGAUCAUUACUGAGUGAGGGCUCACGCCCGACCUCCAACCCUUUGUGAACCAAACUUGUUGCUUCGGGGGCGACCCUGCCGACGACCUCGUCGCCGGGCGCCCCCGAAGGUCUCCCAACACUGCAUCGUUGCGUCGGAGUUUAACACAAAUCAAACAAAACUUUCAACAACAGAUCUCUUGGUUCUGGCAUCGACGAAGAACGCAGC
This 230-nucleotide unclassified non-coding RNA is filed under the name uncultured fungus. RNAcentral describes it as "sequence contains ITS1, 5.8S rRNA gene". The stretch from base 182 to 230 matches the Rfam family "5.8S ribosomal RNA", at positions 1 to 49 of the family's 154-position model. Lineage: Eukaryota; Fungi. The record is from RNAcentral.